AGUAAAUAUAUAAGGUAAUCAUUAUUGCAGUGAGUUUUUAUUUUACAUUUGUAAGUUUUUUAUUUUUUUUCAUUAACUCUUAUAAUAUUUACUUGUUUUACAUUUCAUUUAUAAGUCUUCUAUUUCAUUUAUACGAUUCACAUGUUAUUUUACACUCAAUGUUAAUUUACAAGUUUUAUGUUAUAUAUGUCAAUUACAUCUGUAAGUUUAUGUUUUAUUUGCCAAUUAUAAAUCAUUAAUUUUAUCACUCUUAUGUUAAUUUACUUAUUUUAUCUUCUAUUUACAAGUAUUAUGUUUUAUUUACUUAAUUUAUAUUUUAUUUUAUACUUAAUGUUAAUUUACAAGUUUUAUGUUAUAUUGAUAAUUUGUUGUUUUAUUUACCAAUGAUAUAUCAAUUUACCACUCCUAUGUUUAUUUACUUGUUUUAUCUUUCAUUUAUAAGUUUUAUGUUCCAUUUACAUUAUUUAUGUUUUAUUUUACACUUAAUAUUGAUUUACAAGUUUUAUGUUAAAUUUACAUGUCUUAUAUUUCAUUGCACAAUUUUUAUUUUAUGGUAUUGAUGCUGUAAUUUUAAUCACGGUGUUAUAGAAUGAUCUAUUUAAUUAUUUUACCUUAUAACAUAAAUAAAAGAAUUGUCCAAAACGUAUGGUUUUGCAUCAUAAGUUUAAACAAUUAACAAGGAUUUAAUUAAUGUUUUACUUAAAUUUCUUCUUUACUUGAAAUUAUUAAAAAGAAUAUGAAUUUUUUAUAAUUUUUUAUUUUAAAAUAGGGUCGAUUUACAAAUUGGAGGGUUAGAAAUAUCACCACCAUUUUAAAUUAUUAAUUACAUAUAUAUAUAUAUGUAAAUGUAGGGUCUUGACGAGUGAAAAUUCAAAAUAGACGUUCAAUAGAUUCAAUGAUUCUUUCAAAAUAAUAUACGAUAAAAUGAUAAAUGAAUAAAAUAGCCAACACCUAAAUUUAGAUUUAAAUCUUCUAGCCCAAAGGCUACUGGGCCAGAAAAUGCCAUCAUUUGCCCGCGAAGAGCAAACGUCUUGUCGUUUUACUUUUACCGCCAUUUCUCUAAGCUAAAAUAAGUUAUUAAGCUGAAAGCCAGUCCCCCUAUUUUAUAGUUUAUUCUACGAUGGAUUAUAUUUAUAUUAUGAAUCUUUUGUUAAUUAUUAGAUAAAGAUGUAUAUGGAAUUAAGCCUCAAUCAUAAAUUAUUAAAUACUUACGUGGCAUACAUUGGAUAAUUAUCAAAUUCAUAAUGAAAAUAUUACUUCAUAUUAUAAUACUACAAUAAAUGUCUAGCGUCAACUCUUGCUAGCAAUUGUGAUACAAAAUUUAGAUAAUACCAGAUAUGCAAAGUUACGAUAUAAAAUUUGAAUUUCAACUAAUAUAAUAUAUGAUAUAUUAUAUGACGGACGAUAUUAUUAUAAACAGACAUACAUCAAGAUGUACUUAUCUAAUCAUUUCGUUCUAUCAUAAUAUAAUAUACCUAUAUAAGUGCGGAGUAUAUAUAUUACUCUAAAAUAAUUUUGCAUUAUCAAAGAGGAUUUUGUGGAGAAAGAAAAGGAACGUUUUUAGUACCCUUGCCCAACUGAGUAGAUCACCGGCCGAGCCCAAAUCCUUAAUUGAAAAUUCAGUAAAAAGAAUGGCAUCGAAAGCUUAGAAACCAAAAUCAGAAUAAAUUCAUGAUGUGAUCGGAGCAGCACAAGUGACUACUGAAUUGUGUAUUUGUGGAUCUAUCACAUCAUAAACCAAGACUUUUCUCCUUGUAGUUUUCAAAUCUCCAGCCAUAGGUCUAUCUUUGAUGAUGAAAUCAAGUGCCUGAAGGGAAGAGACGAUGAGGCUGAACGCAAAAGUGGGAAUUUUGGCGUUAUGAUAUUAUUAUUCGAAUAAGAUGUUGGCAAAGAUUAAAAAAAAAUUAAAAAAGGUAAUAAAUAACUCAGUUAUUAUUAGUUUUUAUUGCGAAUAAUUCAUUGGACACGGAUACUUUCAUUAAACAAAUUGAUUGAUGGGGGUUAUUUUUACUCUAAAAUUUAGGGGUAGGUAUUUAAUUCGAUUCAAUUCGCUUCAGUUCGGUUCAAGCAAUAAAAAUAAAGUGAUUCAGAAAUCUAUGAACCAAUUAGUUUUUGUUUAAAACUGAACCGAAUCACGGAACCAAAUGAUUAAAAAAAUUAAAAAUAGAAUUUAUGAAAAUAAAAAUUAAAAAUUAAAAACCUUAGCCUAAACUAGAUCAUUAUAGAAAGUUUUUGACUCCUAAUAUGGUUGAAACUUUGACACUAACAUAAAAUUAGUUGCGGCCUUCUUUUAUUUUGGAUAUGACAACAAACCUUAAUCAAUUAGUUCAAUAAAAUGGGUUUGUGGAUGAACUUUCAAAAGGUAGGUCUUCUCAAAUUUAAAUUUAAGUUUAUUUUAAAUAGAUUGCACAAUUUUAAUUUGUUUAAUCAUAUGAUUCAAUAUGAACAAUACUUAGGUAAUGAAGCUAAUAUUUUUAUUUGUUAGUUAAUACAUAUAAUUAUCAAUGUGAUAUUAUACACUCUAUUUUACGUUGUUUAAUUAUUUGUGCAAUAUUAUACACUCUAUUUUACUUUGUUUAAUUAUUUGUGCUUGAUUAAUAGCUCACUUUGAGAGAUAAUGAAAGUAUUGUGGAUAUAGAAGUUAAAGGAUCAAGAAGUGGUGACUAAAAGAGUGCUCAAUGGAAAUGAAACUUUGAUGUGAAGUUUCAUUCAUCCUAAUUUGUAGUGGACUUAUGACUUUAUUAUUUUUUUAUUAUUUUUGGAUUUACGAACUCAAGAUUACUGGUAUAGUGAUAGUAUAUUACUAUUAUGUCAAUUUUUGUAAAAUACAUAGGGUAAAAUUACUCGAACCAAACUAAACUAUAGAACGAAACCAAAUCAAAUUGCGUUAAUUUGAUUCAAUUCAGUUUAGUUCAGUUCAGCUCUAGUAUGUUGGUUCAUGUUUGGUUCACAAAAUCAUGAAUUAAUUAGUUUAGGCUUGAUUCAUUUGAAGUCUAAAUUGAACAAAUCCAAAUAGUGCCCACCCUAACUCCGAAUGACUCUGAAUACUUUAAUUUUAAUAAAAAUAUGUAUUACAAAAACACCUCUCAUAUGAAUUAUUAUUAAUAGCAAUUUAUUGUAAGUCAAUAUCAUAUAAUUACUUUGAACAUCCAUAUAGCUCAGUCAUUAUUCAAUUUAUAAUUUUCAUACCUUAAAUCCUAAUAUUUUAUUUCCAACAUCUUAAUUAAUAUUUAAAUGACAAUGAGGAAAUCAAUUUUGAGAAAAAAUGUUACUAUAAAGUAUGUAUGACACUUUUUAUUUAAAAAAAAUGAAACAAAGAGUACUAUAAGAGAAACUUUUUUUGUCCUCUGGUCCUUCUUCUUCAUCUCCUUCAUCUCUUUUGUCUCCUUCUCCUUCCUCUUUUUUUGGGUAGUAUUUGAGGAAUAUUUUUUAUUAUUAUGUUCCCAUUGCAAGUUAUUUCAGGUGCAAAUUUCAAUGUUGAACAUAAUAAACAAAACUUAAUAACCAAAAUUAUGUUAAAUAAUUUGUUUACAACUUCACUUAAUUAUAUUGUUGUAAGUAUAUGUUAAAUCUCUUAAAAUUCAUGUGCUAAAUAGUUUUAUUAGUGUUGAUGCCGAAAUCCGGAUAAGUUGGUCAGAUCUCAGAUCCCUGCAUCAUCAUUAAAUUUGUUUGGUGGGAAGCUGAUGAUUAGUUAGCACCAUGAGCAGAUUUUCAAUGAGCAGAUGUUCUGUGAGCAGACAACCCAUGAGCAGACAAUCCAUGAGCAGACGAUCCAUGAGCAGACAAUCUAUGAGUAGAUAACCCGUGACCAGACGAUCCAUGAGCAGAUAACCCAUGAACAGACGAUCCAUGAGCAGAUAACCCAUGAGCAGACGAUCCAUGAGCAGACGAUCCAUGAGCAGACGAUCCAUGAGCAGAUAACCCAUGAGCAGACGAUCCAUGAACAGAUAACUCAUACCACAAUUCAUGUGGCUUAAUUAUGAUUGCUUUAAAAAAAAAGUUUUUAAGUAAAUUUAAAGGAAAAGAAUUCAAAAUAAUCAAUCUUAAAGAAAUCAUAGGCGAAAGAGAAAUUUCUCUGUGGUAGAGAGAGAAAAAGGUCCCAUGGGUUCAGUUGCUUAGAGAGAGAGAGA
This 4130-nucleotide long non-coding RNA is filed under the name Citrus x clementina. RNAcentral describes it as "Citrus clementina (C. clementina) long non-coding RNA (CCLE_LNC002809)". Lineage: Eukaryota; Viridiplantae; Streptophyta; Magnoliopsida; Sapindales; Rutaceae. The record is from RNAcentral.